RNAcentral lists this long non-coding RNA (1027 nucleotides) under Theobroma cacao (cacao). RNAcentral describes it as "long non-coding RNA (TCAC_LNC000403)". Lineage: Eukaryota; Viridiplantae; Streptophyta; Magnoliopsida; Malvales; Malvaceae. The record is from RNAcentral.
CUCACCAAGGAGAAGUAAGAAAAAGGAAGAACAAAACCCUAGGUGGAAAAAUUCAAGGGAAAAGUGUGAAAAUUCAAGGAAAUAAGUGAAAAAGGUAAGAUUUUUUCAAUUAAGCUUGAGAUCUCUCUUUCUUAAGCAUUUUUUCUUAUUUUCUAUGGUUGAAUCACAUGAAAUCAUGAUGAAUCCUUUGCUGGCCGAACACUUAGAGGGAGGUUUUGAUGCUUGAUUUGGUUAGAUUUUGAGAUAUUUUAGUGUUUUUAGUUAGUUAGUGAUGUGUAGCAUGAAAAGCCAACAAGAAAAAUUCACUUCCUCCCAUCACCCAUCAUUGGCCGAAUUCUCCAUGUGGAAUAUUGAUGAUGAUUUUGAUUUUAUUUCAAGUGAUUUGGUUAGGAAUUAGUGAUUUAUGGUGUGAGAAUUAAGCUUGAAAAAUUAUAUUGUUAGUGAACCCUCCAUGGUCCAAUUUUCCAAGAGAAAUGUGUGGAUGAUUUUCCCAUAUUUCAAGUUAUUUAAUUUGUGUUUGAUGAUUUGGAGUAUUGGGAGAAAACUGGAAUUAUGUGGAGUUGAAUUGGACAUAUUGGCCAAUUAAUCGGGUGAUAGAUUGAAUUAGGCCAAUACCAUUUUAUUUAGGUACAUAAUUGAAUUUAUAUUGAACACCGUAUUUAGAUAGUUACCCGAGUAUUUCACAUCCCAUUCCAUGCAUUAGUAUAAAGCCUGAAUUAGUUUUACAACGGUUUAGCACAAAUGUAGUAAAUGGCCUAUUGUGCAUUAUGUCUAGGUGGUGAGCUUUCUGGAAAAAGUAAAGAGAUAGUACCCGAGGAUCAAGAAUCGGAGUUGUCACGACCCGAAACUCCCAUUGAGCCCGUGACAACCGUCGCGACGUCCCGAUAGACAUUUAUUACCCGAAAUGUCAAUCGAAACCUCGCAAGGCUUAACAUCAGUUUUUCUCACUUCCCCUGUGAGUAUUAGUCACUAGAAUUAUGUUUUGAGAGAUUAUAAACUAUUUUCAAAUCAAAACAAUAGAAAAACA